CCAGGAGAUAUUUCACCACUAUCUAAUUGCUCAACAAGAACAUCAUGUUGUUUCUGCAGAAGUUGAUCUUUUCUCUUGCAAGAAACACUAACAGUAUUGGCAAUUGAAGUGACAUAAUUGAAGAAAUCAUCCAUUGAAGCACAACAUCUAGCUACAGCAACUACCACAAGAUGCAAUUGAUGAGCAAAACAAUGGAUGUAAAAAGCAAAGGGGUUUUCAUUCAAUACCUGCCUUUGCAACCCAUGAAACUGCCCUC
This 256-nucleotide long non-coding RNA is filed under the name Sorghum bicolor (sorghum). Its description in RNAcentral is "long non-coding RNA (SBIC_LNC015719)". Lineage: Eukaryota; Viridiplantae; Streptophyta; Magnoliopsida; Poales; Poaceae. The record is from RNAcentral.